GCAAGUUUAAUUUGCAUUGCAUGGCUCAAUGGGCAAAGACAGUAUUAAGUUCUUUAUAUUAUAAAGAAAAAACCUGAAGCCUAAAACUCUAACCAAGUCCCUCACUGACAAAACAAGCCCAAAACACAUAGGCCCAACCCCUAGCAAAAAACCCUAACAGAAAUAACUAAGAAAACCUAGUGAUUUCUUUUACCUUCAGUGCAAUGUCGUUAACAAUGACUGAGCA
This 226-nucleotide unclassified non-coding RNA is filed under the name Hevea brasiliensis (rubber tree). Lineage: Eukaryota; Viridiplantae; Streptophyta; Magnoliopsida; Malpighiales; Euphorbiaceae. The record is from RNAcentral.